CCUACGGGAGGCAGCAGUGGGGAAUAUUGGGCAAUGGAGGCAACUCUUACCCAGCAAUGCCGCGUGAAUGAAGAAGGUCUUCGGAUUGUAAAGUUCUUUAAUUGGGGACGAAAAAAAUGACGGUCCCCAAGGAAUAAGCCCCGGCUAACUACGUGCCAGCCGCCGCGGUAAUACGGAGGGGGCAAGCGGUGUUCGGAAUGACUUGGCGUAAAGGGUGUGGAGGAGGUGUAGCAAGUUAGAAGUGAAAUACCUAGGGCUUAACUCAGGUGCUGCUUCUGAAACUGCUAUACUUGAGUGCAGUAGAGGAAAGUGGAAUUCCUAGUGUAGCGGUGGAAUGCGUAGAUAUUAGGAGGAACAUCAGUGGCGAAGGCGACUUUCUGGACUGUAACUGACGCUGAGACACGAAAGUGUGGGGAGCAAACAGGAUUAGAUACCCGAGUAGUC
This 444-nucleotide ribosomal RNA is filed under the name uncultured bacterium. RNAcentral describes it as "partial 16S ribosomal RNA". It matches the Rfam family "Bacterial small subunit ribosomal RNA", at positions 338 to 795 of the family's 1533-position model. The record is from RNAcentral.